UUUCGCAAUGCCCGAAAGGGUGACGAAGCGACGCCGCGUGGGUGAGGAAGGCCUUCGGGUUGUAAAACCCUGUCAGGAGUUAAGAAAUGUAAGUUCGUUAAUACCGUACUUAUUUGACAAAGGCUCCAAAGGAAGCCACGGCUAACUCUGUGCCAGCAGCCGCGGUAAUACAGAGGUGGCAAGCGUUGUUCGGAAUUAUUGGGCGUAAAGAGCACGUAGGUGGGUUUGUAAGUCAGAUGUGAAAGCCUUCUGUUCAACGGAAGAAUUGCAUCUGAAACUGCGGGCCUUGAGUGUAGGAGGGGAGAAUGGAACUUCUGGUGGAGCGGUGAAAUGCGUAGAUAUCAGAAGGAACGCCGGCGGCGAAAGCGAUUCUCUGGCCUAUUACUGACACUCAGUGUGCGAAAGCUAGGGGAGCAAACGGGAUUAGAUACCCCGGUAGUCCUAACCGUAAACGAUGGGCACUAAGUAGAGGGGUUUUA
Molecule: ribosomal RNA, 479 nt
Filed under: uncultured bacterium
Lineage: Bacteria
Description: bacterial SSU rRNA
Rfam family: Bacterial small subunit ribosomal RNA
Source: RNAcentral